CGAUACCACUAAAAUGUAAACGUUUGGUAAAGAAGUUUACGUUGCUUUGUCCAGAGCGUUCACACAGCACAGCAGCAGAUCUGUUAAGCUGCUCUGAUGCUAAAGCUUUAAGUAAAGAAGUGGACAAUGAGUACUAACUGUGCUCGCAUGUCAACAGAUGCAUCUCCAUGACAAGUCAACAAACGCAAUACAACGAUGAAGACCAUGUGAUGCGGGUUAAUGCUCAAGAGCAGGGGUGUCAAACAUGCGGCCCGCCAGAGGGUCCAAUCCAGAUAGAUUUUCUUUAAAUCAAUCCACAAUUUUAGUAAAGAUUUCAUUUUGAUGCUUAUUAUUUUUUGUAAUUUGGGUGAGUCGGUCGGCCAAUCCUUCAAAUACGCCGUCAUCUUUAUGUUUGCUGGUUUUGUGUUGUGAUGGAAAUCAGACAGAUUUCAUGUAAAGUUUUUGAGAUACCAUAGCAGCAGACACUAACAGGGGAAACCCACAGGAGAGAUUUGUCAUCAGGCUGAGUUAUAACGGUGUGAAAGAAGCUUCUGAGUCAUAUAUAUAGUCCCCAGUGCAGCCCUGUUUCAACAGCCUCUUCACUGCAUACUUGAAAGAAGCAUUGAUUUGAAAAUGAUACGAGUAAAGGGACUUUACCACCAAACAUUUGUAUUUGUCAGAAAUACAAAAACACCUAUCGACUGUAGAGCAUCUGGGUUUUGACAGCCUGCUUUGUAAUUAUUCUAAAGUUAGUUUUAUCUUGUAAAAAGGCAACAUCCAGUCAAACACCCAGUUACCUUUCCUGUACGUACAUGUGCCCGUUAGAUCCUCAUCAGCCAGAAGUACUUCCUCUCUCAGCAUGAGGUCAUUGGACUGAUUCACUUCCUCACGCCUGUUUCUGUCUCCAUACAGAUGUUGUGUUCAGGUGUUACAGUAACAACCAACCAUCGUAACUAGAAGGGCACUCUGAGAGACCACGCAAUGCUAACGAAAAUGAAAAAGAAAACAUUUUUCUGCCCCCUGAAAUUGAAUGGGUUCUUCCUCGGCCCACGCUUCACCAUUCCACCACGCUUCAUGAAAAUCGGCCAGGAGUUUUUCCAAAAUGCUGCUGACAAACGGAUCGAAAGCUUCCCUCCUUAGUGGAGGGGUCAGAGCGGCUUCUCCUAAAAUAUCGAGAAACAGUAGCAGCUCUCAACUUGGGCUCAGCAGGUGGAGAGUAACCUGCAGCUGGAGAUAUCUUAUCCACAGCACCCCUAUCUCUUGUUGUGGAGCUUCUGACAAGUGUCCUCCCCGUACGUCCUGACUGCUCCCUCGGCCUCCCCAACAGCCUCUCCUUUAACUCGAAGCCCUCACCUGACGGUCCUAUCAGUGAUGUUGAUGCUCUCGCCAAUGUCAUCCACCUCCAUGUUAACAUCAUGGUUCUUCAGAAUUCCGACAAUGUCUUCUUUCCUGAGCCGAUCUGCAUACCUAAACAGAUCUACAUCCACCACAAAGGACUCUCUUGACGCCCGAGACGGGAAGGUGGUGCGUGAGGAUGGAGAAGCAUGCGGAGGCUUGUUUCGGCCUCU
Long non-coding RNA from Cottoperca gobio, 1547 nucleotides. RefSeq lists it as uncharacterized. Lineage: Eukaryota; Metazoa; Chordata; Actinopteri; Perciformes; Bovichtidae. The transcript has 3 exons. The record is from RefSeq and is a predicted model, not a curated record.